RNAcentral lists this ribosomal RNA (205 nucleotides) under uncultured bacterium. Its description in RNAcentral is "partial 16S ribosomal RNA". It matches the Rfam family "Bacterial small subunit ribosomal RNA", at positions 568 to 774 of the family's 1533-position model. The record is from RNAcentral.
UGCGUAGGUGGCGGGGUAAGUCGGAUGUGAAUCUCCGAGCUCAACUCGGAAAUGGCAUUGGAAACUACCUUGCUCGAGGGUUGGAGGGGGGACUGGAAUGCUUGGUGUAGCAGUGAAAUGCGUAGAUAUCAAGCGGAACACCAGUGGUGAAGGCGAGUCCCUGGACAACUCCUGACACUGAGGCACGAAAGCUAGGGAGCAAGCA